GUCAGUUUGGCCGAGUGGUCUAAGGCGCCAGACUCAAGUUCUGGUGGAGAAUCCGCGUGGGUUCGAACCCCACAGCUGACA
Molecule: transfer RNA, 81 nt
Filed under: Perkinsus marinus ATCC 50983
Lineage: Eukaryota; Perkinsozoa; Perkinsida; Perkinsidae
Rfam family: tRNA
About the family: Transfer RNA (tRNA) molecules are approximately 80 nucleotides in length. Their secondary structure includes four short double-helical elements and three loops (D, anti-codon, and T loops).
Source: Rfam by way of RNAcentral